CGUAGGACCACACACACACACAAAGUAGAAGUGUCCGCAGGAAUCUGAACGGUUUAACAGCAGCAAAAAGCACCCAGAUUGUCAUAUGCUACUUACCUGACUGCACUGCCAGGCUGUUUUUCUUGGUCUGGCUCUUGAGGAGGAGAACUACAUGCACUGCAGAUGUUCCAUCACGUCACGUCUCUCUCGGGCAGCCAUGGCCAACAGUGAGAACAAGGCUCCCCAUCACAUACGGGAAGGUGAAGCAUUCAGGCAGCUUGGCAGAAGCUCAAGAGAACAGAAGUGUAUUUUUCUUGGUGAAGUUUUGAGGUCCUUACAAAGUUGUGGAUUUGAGGGGAUCCAGUAGCCACAGUGUGUCUGAGCUGAUCGCUCACCACCAGCAUCAUCUGGGUUUUGGAUAUCUUUGAUAUCUUCAGCUCACCCCUCCCAGCAACAUCUGAGGCAAGACUCUAAUUAAGGACUGUUGUCUCUUCUCUUGGAGGAGAGCUCUUAAGACCUUCUACCAACCCUGUCAAUCAAAUAAAUUGAUGAAUCAUUGAGCCAGAGCUAUGGCUACAAGCAGCCCUGCACAGCAAGUUCUGAGGUGAGCUCCUGAAUUUCUUGAUUCCUGCAUGCAGACAAAACCUCUUCAUGGCUGCGGGUCACUGCUGAGGGAAUUCAAAACAAGGCAAAUGAAAGCUCAUUUCACCUCAGGUUCUGUGACUGCUCUCAGGAAGAUGUGAGUUCAGCUCCCCCACCGAGCCUCGUGCUCCCAGGACUGGCAGGACCAGGAGGAGCAUUAGACAGGCAGAGUAAUCUACCCAAACAGGAGGAAAAGAAUCCUAAAGAAAUCCCUCUAGUCGAGUACAGGACACAACCAGCAGUCAGGGAAAGCAAGGGAAUUCAUGGAGCGUGGGGGAAGAGAAAGGUUAUAAACAGUGUGUCUUGGUUUGAAAAGACAGGUGUCUGAUAAGGAAGGCAGGAGACUCCCCUGAAAUGGAAAAUGCAAACCCCCUCCCUCCAAAUUGUUAUCAUUUUGAAAUUAAGGGGCUCUCAGGCAAAGAUAUGGGAAUAGGAAUAACAGUUCUUUAUUAGAGAAGAAAAUAAAAUACAAAUGCAGUAAUACAA
This is a long non-coding RNA of Passer domesticus (house sparrow), 1107 nucleotides long. RefSeq lists it as uncharacterized. The transcript has 4 exons. Lineage: Eukaryota; Metazoa; Chordata; Aves; Passeriformes; Passeridae. The record is from RefSeq and is a predicted model, not a curated record.